This 775-nucleotide ribosomal RNA is filed under the name uncultured Neocallimastigales. RNAcentral's name for it is "partial large subunit ribosomal RNA". It matches the Rfam family "Eukaryotic large subunit ribosomal RNA", at positions 26 to 635 of the family's 3401-position model. Lineage: Eukaryota; Fungi; Neocallimastigomycota; Neocallimastigomycetes; Neocallimastigales. The record is from RNAcentral.
CGCAUCUGUGCAUGCAGCAUAUCAAUAAGCGGAGGAAAAGAAACUAACAAGGAUUCCCCUAGUAACGGCGAGUGAAGCGGGAAGAGCUCAAAUUUGAAAUCUUAAAGGGUUUCCCUUUACGAAUUGUAGUUUAAAGGAAGUGUUUUCUGUUGAGGUUUUGGUAAAAGUUCUUUGGAAUAGGACAUCAUAGAGGGUGAGAAUCCCGUAUUUGACCUUUACUUUCAACUUUGUGAUACACUUUCAAAGAGUCGGAUUGUUUGGGAAUGCAGUCCAAAAUGGGUGGUAAAUUUCAUCUAAAGCUAAAUAUUGGCGAGAGACCGAUAGCGAACAAGUACCGUGAGGGAAAGAUGAAAAGAACUUUGAAAAGAGAGUUAAACAGUACGUGAAAUUGUCAAAAGGGAAGCGUUUGACACCAGUGUUGUUUUUCUGAAAAUCAAUUAAAGAACUGUUUAUGCUAAGCUGUUUAGACUUUAUCAGCUAACUGUUUAGUUUUGAGCUUUUCUUUAAUGCACUUUUCAGUUAACAAGUCAACAUCAAUUUCUUUUGCUGUAAAAAAGCUUGAGGAAGGUGGCUUGAGAUUCGUCUUAAGUGUUUAUAGCCUCUUGCCUAUGCAGUCGGAGAGAUUGAGGUCUGCAGCGUAGAUCCUUCGGGGCUAAAUGCAUUUGUGCUAAGUUAUAGCAUUUUAUAGACAACUUGUUGACUAUGAUUUGUCUUGUAGCUUACUCGCUUAUGUUAUUUUACCUACGCUUAGGAUGUUGAACGCGCACAGAGUCUC